Molecule: ribosomal RNA, 490 nt
Filed under: uncultured bacterium
Lineage: Bacteria
Description: partial 16S ribosomal RNA
Rfam family: Bacterial small subunit ribosomal RNA
Source: RNAcentral
AUUGAACGCUGGCGGCAGGCCUAACACAUGCAAGUCGAACGGUAACAGGAAGAAGCUUGCUUCUUUGCUGACGAGUGGCGGACGGGUGAGUAAUGUCUGGGAAACUGCCUGAUGGAGGGGGAUAACUACUGGAAACGGUAGCUAAUACCGCAUAACGUCGCAAGACCAAAGAGGGGGACCUUCGGGCCUCUUGCCAUCGGAUGUGCCCAGAUGGGAUUAGCUAGUAGGUGGGGUAACGGCUCACCUAGGCGACGAUCCCUAGCUGGUCUGAGAGGAUGACCAGCCACACUGGAACUGAGACACGGUCCAGACUCCUACGGGCGGCAGCAGUGGGGAAUAUUGCACAAUGGGCGCAAGCCUGAUGCAGCCAUGCCGCGUGUAUGAAGAAGGCCUUCGGGUUGUAAAGUACUUUCAGCGGGGAGGAAGGGAGUAAAGUUAAUACCUUGGCUCAUUGACGUUACCCGCAGAAGAAGCACCGGCUAACUCCGUG